This 110-nucleotide small RNA is filed under the name Bacteroides sp. CAG:714. Its description in RNAcentral is "Bacteroides sRNA BTnc049". It matches the Rfam family "Bacteroides sRNA BTnc049". Rfam says of the family: An uncharacterized small RNA discovered in Bacteroides thetaiotaomicron The record is from Rfam by way of RNAcentral. Lineage: Bacteria; Pseudomonadati; Bacteroidota; Bacteroidia; Bacteroidales; Bacteroidaceae.
AUAAGACAGGAAAUUGUGAAAUUUCCUUAUUAGAAUAGUUUAGUUAAGUCUAGUUUAGUUUUUGUGUUGUGAUACUCCAACCAUUAGAGAAUGGCUGGAGUAUCUUUUUU